AGGAAUAUACUUUCAGGGAUCAUUUCUACAGUUCAUUACUAGAGAAGUUUCCCUGAUUCUGUAGAGCACCCAAAAGCAUGAGAGGAACCAGAGGAUUGUCUCCUGAGCACGGAACCUGUUCUAGGUGCUGCUUUUUCAGCUGCCUUUUACCAUUGAUGAUCAUUCUUCUCUUCCCUAGGAGAGGGAGAGGAUGAAGUCUGAGUGGU
Small nucleolar RNA from Sorex araneus (European shrew), 206 nucleotides. RefSeq annotates it as small nucleolar RNA U3. The record is from RefSeq and is a predicted model, not a curated record. The transcript has a single exon. Lineage: Eukaryota; Metazoa; Chordata; Mammalia; Eulipotyphla; Soricidae.